GAUUCUGUCAGUUUUGGGAGCUUUAAAACCAUUUGUGACUGACACAUUAUUGCUUUCCAGGAAGUGGUAGGGAUGACAAAAAAGCAUAUUCCAACAGGGCUUUGGAGAGGAUAAAGUCCAAGAAGUACUGAAACCAAGAGUCACUUAAAUUUUUAAGAAUCUUCAUUUUAAAGAUAAGUAGUAGUCCACAUAGGAAUGCAUGGUAUUCAAUGAUGAUUUCCUACAUUUAUUCAAGGGAUAGGAACAUGCUAUUGUGAUCAGAAAGAAAAAUCAAACAAAAAGAAGAGGCCAAAGGAAAGGAUAUGGUCAGAAAAAAAAAUCAAACAAAAAGAAGAAGGUGAUAAAGGAAAACAGACGAUAGUGGUUCCUAUCAAGAUCUUAGAGAAAGAGAACAUUAAGGGAGACAAAUUGGAGUGAUAUCCAACUAAUCAGAAGCUGGAUGUAGCUGAAGGACUUCUUGUUCUAAUUUAUCUGGCUGUGUCUUCACUGAGCGGAAGUAUGCUGACUGUUUUACAUGUGGUAGCUACAAAAAUCUCAUAAAAUGUAGAGCAGGAUGCCUAGAGGAAACUGAGGCUGAGAAAGAUGCAAUAACUUGCUGAAUAUCACAGAAACAAUACGUGAUUCAAAGACUCACAUACAGCCCUCUUCAUGAUUGCAGAAUCUCAACUUUCAACUAUACUGAUUCUCCACAAUGAUGCAUUUCUCGUUGUAAUUUAAUAUAACUCUACAAGGAGAACAUGGAAUGGGAAAAAUCUGACCAACAUUGCAUAAUAUGAUAAAAAUAACUCAUGAUUACCUUAAAAGAA
This is a long non-coding RNA of Homo sapiens (human), 806 nucleotides long. Ensembl annotates it as long intergenic non-protein coding RNA 2305. Lineage: Eukaryota; Metazoa; Chordata; Mammalia; Primates; Hominidae. The record is from Ensembl.